This 167-nucleotide ribosomal RNA is filed under the name uncultured bacterium. RNAcentral's name for it is "partial 16S rRNA". It matches the Rfam family "Bacterial small subunit ribosomal RNA", at positions 355 to 514 of the family's 1533-position model. The record is from RNAcentral.
UAGGGAAUCUUCCACAAUGGACGCAAGUCUGAUGGAGCAACGCCGCGUGAGUGAAGAAGGUCUUCGGAUCGUAAAACUCUGUUGUUAGAGAAGAACACGAGUGAGAGUAACUGUUCAUUCGAUGACGGUAUCUAACCAGCAAGUCACGGCUAACUACGUGCCAGCAG